Molecule: ribosomal RNA, 253 nt
Filed under: uncultured bacterium
Lineage: Bacteria
Description: partial 16S ribosomal RNA
Rfam family: Bacterial small subunit ribosomal RNA
Source: RNAcentral
UACGGGGGGGGCAAGCGUUGUUCGGAAUUACUGGGUUUAAAGGGUGCGUAGGUGGGCAGGUAAGUCAGUGGUGAAAUCUCCGGGCUUAACUCGGAAACUGCCAUUGAUACUAUCUGUCUUGAAUAUCCUGGAGGUAAGCGGAAUAUGUCAUGUAGCGGUGAAAUGCUUAGAUAUGACAUAGAACACCCAUUGCGAAGGCAGCUUACUACGGGAUUAUUGACACUGAGGCACGAAAGCGUGGGGAUCAAACAGG